Molecule: long non-coding RNA, 269 nt
Organism: Nannospalax galili (Upper Galilee mountains blind mole rat)
Lineage: Eukaryota; Metazoa; Chordata; Mammalia; Rodentia; Spalacidae
Exons: 3
Source: RefSeq, a predicted model, not a curated record
CUCAGAGGAGGGACUCCAAUAUGAGCCAGAUGGGGAAGAGCGGUUCCCCCAUAUGUUCUGUCUUCCUGUCUUGCCUUCCACUGCUGUAACAAUUCUGUGAGGCCAAGGUGGCAUGCCACGGGACACAGACGUCACCCCUUGACCCUGCCUGUGCUAGCUGCUCAGAGUCCAACUGGACUGGAGCACAACGUGGAUGAAGGCCAGAGCAAGAGGGUCUCCCCAGGUGACCUGGAACUUGUUAUGUAGACCAGGCUGGCCUCAGUCUCACA